RNAcentral lists this transfer RNA (63 nucleotides) under Ictidomys tridecemlineatus (thirteen-lined ground squirrel). RNAcentral's name for it is "Spermophilus tridecemlineatus (thirteen-lined ground squirrel) tRNA". It matches the Rfam family "tRNA", at positions 5 to 66 of the family's 71-position model. From Rfam's summary of the family: Transfer RNA (tRNA) molecules are approximately 80 nucleotides in length. Lineage: Eukaryota; Metazoa; Chordata; Mammalia; Rodentia; Sciuridae. The record is from Rfam by way of RNAcentral.
AUGUAGCUUAGUGUUAAAGCACUUGCUUGGCACUCAUGAAGCCCUGAGUUUGAUCCCCAGCAU